GCAGACACAUUCCAGCCAAUCAGCAGCAGACCCUCCCUCCCAGACCCUCCCACCUCCUGGACAGCAUCCAUUUUGAAGCUGCAUUCUUCGUGAGCUGUCCAGGAGGUGGGAGGGUCUGGGAGGGAGGGUCUGCUGCUGAUUGGCUGGAAUGUGUCUG
Molecule: microRNA precursor, 157 nt
Filed under: Pelobates cultripes (western spadefoot toad)
Lineage: Eukaryota; Metazoa; Chordata; Amphibia; Anura; Pelobatidae
Source: RNAcentral